Molecule: ribosomal RNA, 785 nt
Filed under: uncultured bacterium
Lineage: Bacteria
Description: bacterial SSU rRNA
Rfam family: Bacterial small subunit ribosomal RNA
Source: RNAcentral
UUUUUUGGGUGGGGGAGUGGCGGGACCGGGUGAGUAAUUUUUCGGAACGUGCCCAGUAGGGGGGGAUAACUACGCGAAAGCGUAGCUAAUUCCGCAUUUUCUCUUCGGAAGAAAGGGGGGGAUCAUUUGACCUCUCGCUAUUGGAGCGGCCGAUAUCAGAUUAGUUAGUUGGUGGGGUAACGGCCUACCAAGGCAGUGAUCUGUAGCUGGUUUGAGAGGACGACCAGCCACACUGGGACUGAGACACGGCCCAGACUCCUACGGGAGGCAGCAGUGGGGAAUUUUCGACAAUGGGGGAAACCCUGAUCGAGCCAUCCCGCGUGUGGGACGAAGGCCUUCGGGUUGUAAACCACUUUUCUUAGCGAAGAAAAGUCUUAGGCUAAUACCUUAAGACGCUGACGGUAGCUAAGGAAUAAGCAUCGGCUAACUACGUGCCAGCAGCCGCGGUAAUACGUAGGAUGCAAGCGUUAAUCGGAAUUACUGGGCGUAAAGGGUGCGCAGGCGGCUUGGAAAGAACGGUGUGAAAUCCCGGGGCUCAACCCCGGAACUGCACUAUUAACUAUCAAGCUAGAGUAUGUCAGAGGGGGGUGGAAUUCCGCGUGUAGCAGUGAAAUGCGUAGAUAUGCGGAGGAACACCAAUGGCGAAGGCAGCCCCCUGGGAUAAUACUGACGCUCAGGCACGAAAGCGUGGGUAGCAAACAGGAUUAGAUACCCUGGUAGUCCACGCCCUAAACGAUGUCAACUAGCUGUUGGGCCGGUUACGGCUUAGUAGCGCAGCUAACGCG